AACGCACCUUGCGCUCCCUGGUAUUCCGGGGAGCACGCCUGUUCGAGUGUCAUGAAACUCUCAAGCAAGAUAGAUUUGUUUCUGUCUUUGUUUGGAUUUGGACUUUGCUGUGUUCCCAUGCAGCUGGUCUUAAAUGUAUUAGCUGGUCCUGAUGAAGGUUUGGUUCUACUCGGCGUGAUAAUUAUCUAACGUUGAGGACAGUCUCUGGGACUGGCCAGGCUCUCUUUGGAUUGCUUCUAAUCAUCUUAGGAUAAUUGCUUAAUAUCUGACCUCGAAUCAGGUGGGACUACCCGCUGAACUUAA
RNAcentral lists this unclassified non-coding RNA (303 nucleotides) under Acremonium sp. RNAcentral's name for it is "partial contains 5.8S ribosomal RNA, internal transcribed spacer 2, and large subunit ribosomal RNA". RNAcentral also lists the same sequence under 1 other name. Lineage: Eukaryota; Fungi; Ascomycota; Sordariomycetes; Hypocreales; Bionectriaceae. The record is from RNAcentral.